CCUACGGGGGGCAGCAGUGAGGAAUAUUGGUCAAUGGGCGCGAGCCUGAACCAGCCAAGUAGCGUGAAGGAUGACUGCCCUACGGGUUGUAAACUUCUUUUGUCAGGGAGCAAUUGGCGCUACGUGUAGCGUUAUCGAGAGUACCUGAAGAAAAAGCAUCGGCUAACUCCGUGCCAGCAGCCGCGGUAAUACGGAGGAUGCGAGCGUUAUCCGGAUUUAUUGGGUUGAAAGGGUGCGUAGGCGGAAUGCCAAGUCAGCGGGAAAAUCGCGGGGCUCAACCUCGCUCCGCCGUUGAAACUGGCGUUCUUGAGUGGGCGAGAAGUAGGCGGAAUGCGUGGUGUAGCGGUGAAAUGCAUAGAUAUCACGCAGAACUCCGAUUGCGAAGGCAGCAUACCGGCGCCCAACUGACGCUGAAGCACGAAAGCGUGGGUAUCGAACAGGAUUAGAUACCCGAGUAGUC
RNAcentral lists this ribosomal RNA (460 nucleotides) under uncultured bacterium. RNAcentral describes it as "partial 16S ribosomal RNA". It matches the Rfam family "Bacterial small subunit ribosomal RNA", at positions 338 to 795 of the family's 1533-position model. The record is from RNAcentral.